CCUACGGGAGGCAGCAGUGGGGGAUAUUGGACAAUGGGGGGAACCCUGAUCCAGCGACGCCGCGUGAGUGAAGAAGUAUUUCGGUAUGUAAAGCUCUGUCAGCAGGGAAGAAAGAAAUGACGGUACCUGACCAAGAAGCCCCGGCUAACUACGUGCCAGCAGCCGCGGUAAUACGUAGGGGGCAAGCGUUAUCCGGAAUUACUGGGUGUAAAGGGAGCGUAGACGGUUAAGUAAGUCUGGAGUGAAAGGCCGGGGCUCAACCCCGGGACUGCUCUGGAAACUAUUGAACUUGAGUGCAAGAGAGGUAAGCGGAAUUGCUAGUGUAGCGGUGAAAUGCGUAGAUAUUAGGAGGAACACCAGUGGCGAAGGCGGCUUACUGGACUGGAACUGACGUUGAGGCUCGAAAGCGUGGGGAGCAAACAGGAUUAGAUACCCCGGUAGUC
RNAcentral lists this ribosomal RNA (443 nucleotides) under uncultured bacterium. RNAcentral's name for it is "partial 16S ribosomal RNA". It matches the Rfam family "Bacterial small subunit ribosomal RNA", at positions 338 to 795 of the family's 1533-position model. The record is from RNAcentral.